Molecule: ribosomal RNA, 439 nt
Filed under: uncultured bacterium
Lineage: Bacteria
Description: partial 16S ribosomal RNA
Rfam family: Bacterial small subunit ribosomal RNA
Source: RNAcentral
CCUACGGGAGACAGCAGUGGGGAAUAUUGCACAAUGGGGGAAACCCUGAUGCAGCGACGCCGCGUGAGCGAUGAAGUAUUUCGGUAUGUAAAGCCCUAUCAGCAGGGAAGAAAAUGACGGUACCUGACCAAGAAGCCCCGGCUAACUACGUGCCAGCAGCCGCGGAAAUACGUAGGGGGAAGCGUUAUCCGGAUUUACUGGGAGUAAAGGGAGCGUAGACGGUCCUGCAAGCCAGAUGUGAAAGCCCGGGGCUCAACCCCGGGACUGCAUUUGGAACUGUAAGGCUAGAGUGUCGGAGAGGCAGGCGGAAUUCCUGGUGUAGCGGUGAAAUGCGUAGAUAUUAGGAGGAACACCAGUGGCGAAGGCGGGCUGCUGGACGAUAACUGACGUUGAGGCUCGAAAGCGUGGGGAGCAAACAGGAUUAGAUACCCGGGUAGUC